GUGGGGAAUCUUCCGCAAUGGACGAAAGUCUGACGGAGCAACGCCGCGUGAGUGAAGAAGGUUUUCGGAUCGUAAAGCUCUUUCGUUAGGGACGAACGUGCUCUUUGUGAAUAAUGAGGAGUAAUGACGGUACCUAAAUAAGAAGCCACGGCUAACUACGUGCCAGCAGCCGCGGUAAUACGUAGGUGGCAAGCGUUGUCCGGAAUUAUUGGGCGUAAAGCGCGCGCAGGCGGGAUAUCAAGUCUGUCUUAAAAGUGCGAGGCUCAACCUCGUGAGGGGACAGAAACUGGUAUUCUUGAGUGUCGGAGAGGAAAGUGGAAUUCCAAGUGUAGCGGUGAAAUGCGUAGAGAUUUGGAAGAACACCAGUGGCGAAGGCGACUUUCUGGACGGUGUCUGACACUGAGGCGCGAAAGCCAGGGGAGCGAACGGGAUUAGAAACCCCUGUAGUCC
Molecule: ribosomal RNA, 450 nt
Filed under: uncultured bacterium
Lineage: Bacteria
Description: partial 16S ribosomal RNA
Rfam family: Bacterial small subunit ribosomal RNA
Source: RNAcentral